CGCAAAGAUUCGGUCUUCUUACUUCUGUGUUUGGUUUGUCAGGGUUUAGCUCGGUUUGCUCAAAGUUCUAGGGAUAAAACUUUGAGCACCCAUUUGAUAUCUUUGAGCUUUGGUGUGCAGGUUAGGAUGCGAUUUCGGCAGAGUGACGGUGCCAAAAAUUAGGUUUUCUUCGUGGAAAUGGAUAGUCCUUAUAUAGAGCUCUGGGUUACCAAGUCUCUCACCUGUGAGCUGGCCAAAAAUCCAAGAUUUUCUGUUGGAAUAAAAUCUCCUCUAAUUUUGGUGUGGUCCCUAAUUUGAUGCAGGUGGCAAGGCGAGUUGGUUGGGAGUGGAAAUCUUUCCAUGAUGCGUG
This 349-nucleotide long non-coding RNA is filed under the name Lathyrus oleraceus (garden pea). RNAcentral's name for it is "Pisum sativum (pea) long non-coding RNA (PSAT_LNC012775)". Lineage: Eukaryota; Viridiplantae; Streptophyta; Magnoliopsida; Fabales; Fabaceae. The record is from RNAcentral.